GCCGGUCAUAAACCGGAGGAAGGUGGGGAUGACGGUCAAAGUCAGCAUGGCCUUUAUAUCCUGGGCUAUACACACGCUACAAUGGGAAGGGACAAUAGGUUGCGAAGCCGCGAGGCGGAGCCAAUCCAAGCAAAACUUCCCUCAGUUCAGAUUGCAGGCUGCAACUCGCCUGCAUGAAGUUGGAGUUGCUAGUAAACGCAGGUCAGCCAUACUGCGUUGAAUACGUUCCCGGGUCUU
Molecule: ribosomal RNA, 237 nt
Filed under: uncultured Anaerolineaceae bacterium
Lineage: Bacteria; Bacillati; Chloroflexota; Anaerolineae; Anaerolineales; Anaerolineaceae
Description: partial 16S ribosomal RNA
Rfam family: Bacterial small subunit ribosomal RNA
Source: RNAcentral